ACUUGCCUUUGCGAGGGGGAUAACAGUUGGAAACGACUGCUAAUACCGCAUAAUGUCUUCGGACCAAACAGGGCUUCGGCUCUGGCGCAAAGAGAGGCCCAAGUGAGAUUAGCUAGUUGGUGAGGUAAAGGCUCACCAAGGCAACGAUCUCUAGCUGUUCUGAGAGGAAGAUCAGCCACACUGGGACUGAGACACGGCCCAGACUCCUACGGGAGGCAGCAGUGGGGAAUAUUGCACAAUGGGGGAAACCCUGAUGCAGCCAUGCCGCGUGUGUGAAGAAGGCCUUCGGGUUGUAAAGCACUUUCAGUUGUGAGGAAAAGUUAGUAGUUAAUACCUGCUAGCCGUGACGUUAACAACAGAAGAAGCACCGGCUAACUCCGUGCCAGCAGCCGCGGUAAUACGGAGGGUGCGAGCGUUAAUCGGAAUUACUGGGCGUAAAGCGCACGCAGGCGGUUUGUUAAGCUAGAUGUGAAAGCCCCGGGCUCAACCUGGGACGGUCAUUUAGAACUGGCAGACUAGAGUCUUGGAGAGGGGAGUGGAAUUCCAGGUGUAGCGGUGAAAUGCGUAGAUAUCUGGAGGAACAUCAGUGGCGAAGGCGACUCCCUGGCCAAAGACUGACGCUCAUGUGCGAAAGUGUGGGUAGCGAACAG
RNAcentral lists this ribosomal RNA (650 nucleotides) under uncultured bacterium. RNAcentral describes it as "bacterial SSU rRNA". It matches the Rfam family "Bacterial small subunit ribosomal RNA", at positions 124 to 775 of the family's 1533-position model. The record is from RNAcentral.